CAAAAGCACCAGGGGUGCUUGAACCAGGAUAGCCUUUGCGCGGGGCUAUCCAGGACCAGGCUGAGAAAGUCCCUUUGAACCUGAACAGGGUAAUGCCUGCGCAGGGAGUGUGCAGUUUUUUUUUC
RNAcentral lists this non-coding RNA (125 nucleotides) under Eutrema salsugineum. RNAcentral describes it as "TPP sequence". It matches the Rfam family "TPP riboswitch aptamer (THI element)". From Rfam's summary of the family: Vitamin B(1) in its active form thiamin pyrophosphate (TPP) is an essential coenzyme that is synthesised by coupling of pyrimidine and thiazole moieties in bacteria. The previously detected thiamin-regulatory element, thi box was extended, resulting in a new, highly conserved RNA secondary structure, the THI element, which is widely distributed in eubacteria and also occurs in some archaea. Analysis of operon structures identified a large number of new candidate thiamin-regulated genes, mostly transporters, in various prokaryotic organisms. Lineage: Eukaryota; Viridiplantae; Streptophyta; Magnoliopsida; Brassicales; Brassicaceae. The record is from Rfam by way of RNAcentral.